AAAGAAACCAACCGGGAUUGCCUCAGUAACGGCGAGUGAAGCGGCAAGAGCUCAAAUUUGAAAUCUGGCCCCUCCGGGGUCCGAGUUGUAAUUUGCAGAGGAUGCUUCGGGUGCGGCCCCUGUCUAAGUGCCCUGGAACGGGCCGUCAGAGAGGGUGAGAAUCCCGUCUUGGGCAGGGUGCCCGUGCCCGUGUGAAGCUCCUUCGACGAGUCGAGUUGUUUGGGAAUGCAGCUCAAAAUGGGUGGUAAAUUUCAUCUAAAGCUAAAUACCGGCCGGAGACCGAUAGCGCACAAGUAGAGUGAUCGAAAGAUGAAAAGCACUUUGAAAAGAGAGUUAAACAGCACGUGAAAUUGUUGAAAGGGAAGCGCUUGCAACCAGACUCGGCCUCGGGGUUCAGCCAGCAUUCGUGCUGGUGUACUUCCCCGGGGCCGGGCCAGCGUCGGUUUGGGCGGCCGGUCAAAGGCCCCAGGAAUGUAUCGUCCUCCGGGACGUCUUAUAGCCUGGGGUGCAAUGCGGCCAGCCUGGACCGAGGAACGCGCUUCGGCACGGACGCUGGCGUAAUGGUCGCAAACGACCCGUCUUGAAACACGGACCAAGGAGUCUAACAUCUACGCGAGUGUUCGGGUGUCAAACCCGUACGCGCAGUGAAAGCGAACGGAGGUGGGAGCCCCCCCGGGGCGCACCAUCGACCGAUCCUGAUGUCUUCGGAUGGAUUUGAGUACGAGCGUAGCUGUGGGGACCCGAAAGAUGGUGAACUAUGCCUGAAUAGGGUGAAGCCAGAGGAAACUCUGGUGGAGGCUCGCAGCGGUUCUGACGUGCAAAUCGAUCGUCAAAUUUGGGUAUAGGGGCGAAAGACUAAUCGAACCAUCUAGUA
RNAcentral lists this ribosomal RNA (874 nucleotides) under Aspergillus sydowii. RNAcentral describes it as "partial 28S ribosomal RNA". It matches the Rfam family "Eukaryotic large subunit ribosomal RNA", at positions 58 to 949 of the family's 3401-position model. Lineage: Eukaryota; Fungi; Ascomycota; Eurotiomycetes; Eurotiales; Aspergillaceae. The record is from RNAcentral.